UAGGAGGUAGUGUAAUGGAAGCACUAGGAGUUUUGAUCUCCUAAGUAUGGGUUCAAGUCCCUUUUUCCUAA
Molecule: non-coding RNA, 71 nt
Organism: Gymnothorax javanicus (giant moray)
Lineage: Eukaryota; Metazoa; Chordata; Actinopteri; Anguilliformes; Muraenidae
Source: the annotation of a GenBank genome assembly